This 492-nucleotide ribosomal RNA is filed under the name uncultured bacterium. RNAcentral describes it as "partial 16S ribosomal RNA". It matches the Rfam family "Bacterial small subunit ribosomal RNA", at positions 29 to 507 of the family's 1533-position model. The record is from RNAcentral.
AGUGAACGCUGGCGGUAGGCCUAACACAUGCAAGUCGAACGGCAGCACAGUAAGAGCUUGCUCUUACGGGUGGCGAGUGGCGGACGGGUGAGGAAUACAUCGGAAUCUACUUUUUCGUGGGGGAUAACGUAGGGAAACUUACGCUAAUACCGCAUACGACCUACGGGUGAAAGCAGGGGAUCUUCGGACCUUGCGCGAUUGAAUGAGCCGAUGUCGGAUUAGCUAGUUGGCGGGGUAAAGGCCCACCAAGGCGACGAUCCGUAGCUGGUCUGAGAGGAUGAUCCGCCAAACUGGAACUGAGACACGGUCCAGACUCCUAAGGGAGGCAGCAGUGGGGAAUAUUGGACAAUGGGCGCAAGCCUGAUCCAGCCAUACCGCGUGGGUGAAGAAGGCCUUCGGGUUGUAAAGCCCUUUUGUUGGGAAAGAAAAGCAGCAGGUUAAUACCCCGCUGUUCUGACGGUACCCAAAGAAUAAGCACCGGCUAACUUCGUG